Molecule: ribosomal RNA, 170 nt
Filed under: uncultured bacterium
Lineage: Bacteria
Description: partial 16S ribosomal RNA
Rfam family: Bacterial small subunit ribosomal RNA
Source: RNAcentral
UCUACGGGAGGCAGCAGUGGGGAAUAUUGCACAAUGGGGGAAACCCUGAUGCAGCAACGCCGCGUGAGUGAUGAAGGCCUUAGGGUUGUAAAGCUCUUUCACCGGUGAAGAUAAUGACGGUAACCGGAGAAGAAGCCCCGGCUAACUACGUGCCAGCAGCCGCGGUAAUA